Talpa occidentalis (Iberian mole) is the source of this 474-nucleotide long non-coding RNA. RefSeq lists it as uncharacterized. Lineage: Eukaryota; Metazoa; Chordata; Mammalia; Eulipotyphla; Talpidae. The record is from RefSeq and is a predicted model, not a curated record. The transcript is spliced from 5 exons.
CCCAUUCCUAUUCAUUUUCUGAUUUGGGAACCACCAUAGUGUUUUCACAGAGUCUCAUAAUUAUUUUUGUUGUGUUUUGUCAGUGUGUUUGCUAUUUCACAUAAGAGUGGAACCACCUGGUUUGAAGAGGAACAAUACCACUGGCAUUCCUGGCCUGCAAUUUGCAAAUGGUAGUUCAUGGGACACCUCAGCCUCCCUAAUUGUAUGAUCCAAUUCCUCAAACAGGGACUUCUGGAAAUAAAAUAUGUCUAAGGACUGGAGAAAGAAAGGAAAAGAGAAAAAAGCUACAUUUUUUUUCCCCUUUGAAAGCUGCACAUGAAGAAUCUGUGGCAUGUGUGGAGCGGCUAGCCUCGGUGUUUCAGAUGGCAGAGCUACAUGAUGGAGGAAGGCCAUUGACCCCACAUUCUAGGAGGAAGAAAUGAUUGUAUCCAAAUAAUACCGAUCAACACUACAAACCAAACAACAGAAAAAAUC